GAGACGGCGGCGAGGAAAGUUUGGUUUUGUUUUUUUUUUUCCCCUCCCGGUGGUGUUUUUUGGACGGCGCCGGCGGAGCGGGGGGGGGUACGCUUUUCGCAGCUUCUUCGCCUUUUGCUUCCUGGGGUUCGUGUUUCCCGGGCGGGCGGAGCCGCCCCCGGCACUGAGAAGAACGGGGGCUCAGCGCACCGCGGCGGCGCCUCGGCGGGUUUUGUUUUUGCACUGAAUGUAGCCAGUACGGAUCCUUGUGGGCUUUGGCAGCCCUUGGAAACUGUCACAGGCAGUAUUUUGCAUUUCUGCAGAGCUUUGCACAGAUCCUGUUCCCAUGCAGACUGAUGAGGGAGAAAUACUGGAGGAAGGCAGUCCCAAGAUGGAACAUGAGGAUUUUGUAAUGGAGGGGCAUGGCAAGACUCCACCUCCUGGUGAAGAAAACAAACAGAAGAAGAGGGCCUUGUCCUAGAAGUACUUCAGUGAUGGCUGUAUUCUGUAUGGUCUUCAUUAGUUAAUGCAAUGUAUUACUUACUUGCAGUGGGAAUUAGCUGGACAUCAACAUACUGGACUGGGUUUUUGAAAGAGGACAGAGGGGAGCUCUGGAGCAUCUGGCAGAGGAGAAGCAAAGAAGACUGUGUCUGUUUAGCCUUGAGAUAAGAAAACUGGGGAGGAUAUUAUUAUUCAUGUGUCUAUCUGAUGAGGAGACUAAGGAAGACUGAGCCAAAUUCUUCACAGUGGUGCCUGGUGGAGAGGCAAGAAGCCAUUGGCAUAAACUGAAAUACAGGAAGCUCCACUCAAACACAAGGGAAAAAUGUUCUUUUUUUACUGUUAAAAAUGGUCAGACCUUUAGAAGAGGUUACCCAGAAAAGUUGUGACCUCUAAGUGACUCAAAACUCAGCUGAGCACAACCCCAAUUCUGCUUCAACCUGCUUUAGUUAACCAUGCCUUGAGCAAAGGCAUGGGAUUGAUGGUAUCAGAGAUCCAUCCAUCUGCAGUGAUUCUGUGAUUUGUUGUACCCAUAUCUACUGUUAUCCUCCUGGUUGGUUUGAAAUAAAAUUGGAGCUUCUUAGUGAAAGGUAGGUUCUAAGUUUGAAUGUAGAGUCAGAUGUUCUCCACAGAAAUAGCUGAUCCACUGAAGAUGCUUCCUUCCCUUUCCAGCUGUCAUUAGACUUAGUAGAAUUUACUGCCUCUACAGCUAUGCAGAUGGAAUGGUUUUUCUUUGACUACUUCUAAUUUACUUUUCAGGAAAGUUUACCAUUGUAAUUUAAUUGUCUUUCGUUAGGCAGCCUGAUCUGGGUAUCUCUGCACUGGGAUUAUUGAGGAAGUGUUCAGAAGAUACGGUUUCAGCAAGGGAGCAAACUUGCACCGGAGCUCCAGAGCAAUCUGCUAGUAUUGACCUCCUAGGAAAGCCCUGCAAAUUUCUUACUAUUUGUCUGCAUUUCAAUGGGCUCAAAACUUUACCGGACAAUGAAAGAACCGAAAUAAAAAGAUACUUUUGAGAGACUUUUGAUGGAUGCAAUAGUUCUUACCUAGGCCCUGUUUUAUGUGGUAUUUCCUUUACUAAAGUAUAGCUUCAAAACUGAAUAUAAGGAGCCAGCAUCCAUGGAUGAUGUCUGGCACUUUAUGAAACAGAUUUUUUCCCCAGUUUGACUUGGAGAUAAAAACUUGGCAUUUUUGCCUUGUAGUAUUAAACAAAGAUACAAAAAUGCAAACAAACCCAGCAACAACAAACAACCCUGCUGUAAUGUUGUGAGCCCUUUCUACUGUACUGGACAGUUCUUUUGGACAGAUACUAAAGUUACAACAUUUUUUAAGACUUUUAAUUGAGCUGUAGGUGAUACCUGAGAAAUGCUGUCUUCUGAUAGCUGUCACCUUUAUAGGAAGGAAUUACCUGGUUAAACUGUAUACAAGGUCUUCAGAAAUCUUCAACUGAUCUUUCACAGUAUGGAUAUAACUUAUUUCAAUUUAAGCUAAUUAUGAUGAAGUUACCUAUUCAAAAUCCUUAGUACAAGUGAGAAAGUGAAUGGGCACAGUCAUCUCAGUCCUGUGAAAGAUUUGCAUCUAUGUGCAGUGCAUAUGUCACAAAAGAUGUCAUGGUUGUGCAGCAGUCAAGUGAUGUAUGCUAAAAACUGAACUUCAGAAGGAGUGAGCCUGCUGGGACUGCUGGAGCAGAUCAUGGCCAUCUCACACCUUGCUCCUGCUCUGGCUGAGGACCAGUGACUCCUUGAUAAAUUGUUACUUCUCAGUUUUUAUGUACUCUGUAACCUCCCUUCUUAGCUGUCUGGCAUGGGAUAUCACUGUGUGUUAUACUUGGUCACAUUAUUUUUUUUAUGUGGACAAUACAUUUGGUAAGAAUGUUUCCUUCCUUCCUUCCCAAUAGAGAAAAAUUACAUUAUGCUUAAUUACAGGUGAACAUUUUGUUAGAGGUGUUCUCUCAUAUUUUCAUCCAUUACAACAAGGUUGACCUGAACUGGCAUGCUUAGGGAGUAAAUACUCCCCCCACAAAAUACUUACGUUUUACAUGGCAUCAUCCUAUUGUGCCCUUAUCAAUUGUAAUAGGGCUUUUACUUUGCUACUGCUGGAGCAAAGAUUAAGAGGAAAAUGUGAUCCAGAGACAUCUUUCCAAAACAGUCAAACUUCUGUUGAUGAGCAUGGGGCAACCACCGGGGCAGGAAGAAGAAUUCUGCUCAAGUCCUUAAAUUGAGGUUCUGCUCCUGGCUCUAGCAGCAUUAAUUAGCAACUCUCCUUGUGCUAAUAAAUUACCACCUGCUGUCAUAACCAGAAAUGUGUGCACCUUAAUGAGUGAACGGGACUGGGUAGUGAAAAAUUAUUCCUUUUUAUAAGAUAAAUGUAAAUGUUUUACUCUUCCUAACUGACACAUGGAGAGGUCUGUUUGACAGUAGCAAUUCAGACAAAAAGUGAGCCAAAUUCUUACUCACAUCUGGUAGGAAGGUAAGCCAAGCUGCUCCUGCUGUUUGAAGUACCUCAGCUGGCUGUUCCCUAUCUGCUUUUUUGUAGUAACGGGAGAGAAAAGUCUUCAACUAUCUUGACAAUUUGUACAUCUGGAAGUGAUUCACAUUGUAAGAAAGGUAUCAAAACAAGAUAAUUUCUGUAAUUUAGAAAGUUAGAUCUACUGAAUAGGCUUUUCCCUGGCUUGAUAGUUUAAUGUACAGAUUCUGAGGCAAGUGUUUUUGAUGAAACCCCCCAAAAUUGUACUAAUGCCAGGAUAAGAUUGCAAUCACUGAGCAUCACAAAAUUGUUUAACAUUUGGUACUAGUAUCUUAUUUUUCUUUGAUAUUUCAGCAGGAAGGUUCAAGGUCUUCUUGGAUUUGUGUGACACUAUAGUUAAAAGAAAGUAGUAGCUAAAUUGACCUAACCUGCAAAGAGGAAUUACAGACUCCAAAAAUCAUCUUGUCCAAUACCAUGCCCAAAGAGGGGGGCAGAUUUGAAGGUUAGAUUUAACUUCUAAGUGGUAUUAGGCUUUUCAGGUUUAUUCGAGAGCUUUUUUGGACAGUCUGUUGCAAUAUUAAGCACCCUCACAGUGAAGAAAACUUCCUAAUGUUCAGUAAGAAUUUAUGAUCAUUGCUUUUCAUCUUUGAAUGUGUGUAUCUGAACAUGGCCCAGUCUUCAUUAAAACUUGCCACUGUGUUCACUUAGCAGAAUAGCUUCCCCCUCCCCCUCGCUUAGUUUUGCUGUAUGGAAACUAAGUGAAAUCAAGAAGCCAGUCUACAGGCUAGUCUUUGUUUUCAGCAAGCUGCUAUGUCAAGGGCACGUGUAAACAUCACUGCUCUAAUAGCACAAAAGAACCUAUCUUACUCUUUCAUGGUGUUGCUGAAAACUAUAAAAAGGCUCCAGUGGUAUAUCCUGAAGUUGUCUGGUUUGGUUGGUGAGAAUGAUAGACACUGUUAUGAACUACUGCAGUGUUCUUUUGUACAGUUGAAAUUCCACAAAGGUGCCUAGCAUUGCUUCUGUUCCUUUAGGAUAAAACAUUGUUCUUACCAAAUUUAAAGUAAACAGUUAGCUAAAAGCUUUUGUAACACGGGUUUGUUUGAUGUUUUAAGGAUAUUCAAUAUUACAGAAGAUAUUGAGACUUGCCUUGAGUGGCAUUACACUUUUUAAAUUUACUGGCAGUACUAACCUCAGCAGAGGUUGUUUUUUGUCAGAAGAUCCAUGCUUUGAUUUUCAAAGUAGUAUCCAAAUCCUAAUUCAGAUUAUCAACUCAGAUUUGAGGUAUCUAAAUUUGCAUAGCAACCCAAAUUCUGUGAAAUUAAUGGUAAGUUAUUUCUUGAAUUACAUCCAAGAAUUAUGUAAAGGCAUAGCUAUUUUUAUAUUGCUGAUUGUUCUCUGUGUGUAGAAUAACUAGCCUGUUCAGGAAAUGUCCCCCCAAACAUUCAAGUCCUCUGCCUGAGAUCCUAACAAGUCAUGGGAUGUCUGUAUUGGCCAUAGCAGACCUCUCUGUCACAGGGUGUUGCAGCUCUGUUAGUGUGUCAGACUGUGCUUCAGACCCAGUGGUAACUCAGGCUCACUCUGAUCCUGGCAUGUGAGUAGGAGAGUUAUAACUUUUUUCUUUUAUACCCUUAGAGAUUUGAGAGGGUAUUUAAGGGUGUGAGACUAUUAGACUAAAACAAAAUGAAAAUCAGUCCAGCUAAGGAUUAAGGAAUGUUUUCAUGCCCUUCAUACUGUACAGAUGUUUUUAGUCCAUAUAGUGGAGUGAGUGACAGGACAAGUUUGUAUUUGAAGGCAGGUUUACCUGGAUGUUUAAUAGGGCCCUGAGGCAUAGAGAAAAAAUUGCCCUUUAUUUUGCAAUUGAGUGAGUAGAAAUGAAUGAGACAUGAGCAAAAUCUGUAUCUGUAGAGGCAGCUGUGUUUUAGCUGUGACUUGCAAGUCAACCAAGUUACAAAAGCUGACUUGCACCCUUACAAUAUACUACUUCUGAACAAUGUGCAGAAUUUAUACACGAGCACUUUAAAAUGGCAAAAGUUUCAUUGUCUUCCAUAUUUUACCAGUUCAGUGUUAAAUGCUUUGAAGUUUUUGUACUUAAAAUUUUAAGUGUUACCCACAGGAAGACUCUUGUUUGAAUAUUCUAAGCAAAAAUAUUUUAAAAUUAGGCAUUUCUUCUGAAGGUUAGACUUGCAAAAGUUUUCAAUUAUCAUUUCAUGAUUCUUAAGACUCUGCAUUUCAUGUCCUCGGUGAUUUUCUUUUUUUUUUUCCCUUUCAAACCAUGAACAAAUACAGGCUUUUCAUACACCUCAGCCAACCUACAGCUUAGUUUACUGCUGUUUUGCAAGUAUUUUCUUCAUAUGUGGAAAGAAACGGAAGCCAGAUGACCAACCGUUAAGAAAAAUAAAAAGGAAGUCACACAGAAAAAAGUCAACUUUGGAAGUGAAGUUCCCACUUAUUAUCACAAUGUGUUUAGUCUACACCACUGCUGAAUAUUGAAAGAGGAAAAUAUUUUGGACAGUGUACAUUCUAAGUGUGAAUGUUUUGGCAUUUCUUUGCUGAGGAUUUUAUGCUGCUCUCUUCCAGAUGUCUUGUGGUGAGAACAAGCUAGUUUGUUUGGGCUCUCCCCACCCCUAAGAUCUGCAUUUGUCCUGUGUAGGAAGUGCACAGAGCCUGCUUCUGAAUUUGCAGUCUCAUCUGACCAAGAGACUACUUCAUACUUGUCUUAGUGAAAAUAUAUUUUCUUAGUGAAAAU
Molecule: long non-coding RNA, 5686 nt
Organism: Taeniopygia guttata (zebra finch)
Lineage: Eukaryota; Metazoa; Chordata; Aves; Passeriformes; Estrildidae
Source: Ensembl